CCUACGGGGGGCAGCAGUCGAGAAUCAUUCACAAUGGGGGAAACCCUGAUGGUGCGACGCCGCGUGGGGGAAUGAAGGUCUUCGGAUUGUAAACCCCUGUCAUGUGGGAGCAAAUUAAAAAGAUAGUACCACAAGAGGAAGAGACGGCUAACUCUGUGCCAGCAGCCGCGGUAAUACAGAGGUCUCAAGCGUUGUUCGGAAUCACUGGGCGUAAGGCGUGCGUAGGCUGUUUCGUAAGUCGUGUGUGAAAGGCCCGGGCUCAACCCGCGGACUGCACAUGAUACUGUGCGACUAGAGAAUUGUAGGGGUAACCGGAAUGCUUGGUGUAGCAGUGAAAUGCGUAGAUAUCAAGAGGAACACUGGUGGCGAAGGCGGGUUACUAAACAUCAACUGACGUUGAGGCACGAAGGCGAGGGGAGCGAAAGGGAUUAGAUACCCCAGUAGUC
RNAcentral lists this ribosomal RNA (446 nucleotides) under uncultured bacterium. RNAcentral describes it as "partial 16S ribosomal RNA". It matches the Rfam family "Bacterial small subunit ribosomal RNA", at positions 338 to 795 of the family's 1533-position model. The record is from RNAcentral.